UACGGGAGGCAGCAGUGGGGAAUAUUGCACAAUGGGCGCAAGCCUGAUGCAGCCAUGCCGCGUGUAUGAAGAAGGGCCUUCGGGUUGUAAAGUACUUUCAGUCGUGAGGAAGGUGUUAAGGUUAAUAACCUUAGCAAUUGACGUUAGCGACAGAAGAAGCACCGGCUAACUCCGUGCCAGCAGCCGCGGUAAUACGGAGGGUGCGAGCGUUAAUCGGAAUUACUGGGCGUAAAGGGCACGCAGGCGGUUAAUUAAGUUGGAUGUGAAUCCCCGGGCUUAACCUGGGAAUGGCAUUCAAGACUGGUUAGCUAGAGUCUUGUAGAGGGGGUAGAAUUCCAUGUGUAGCGGUGAAAUGCGUAGAGAUGUGGAGGAAUACCGGUGGCGAAGGCGGCCCCUGGGACAAAGACUGACGCUCAUGUGCGAAAGCGUGGGGAGCAAACAGGAUUAGAUACC
This 453-nucleotide ribosomal RNA is filed under the name uncultured bacterium. RNAcentral describes it as "bacterial SSU rRNA". It matches the Rfam family "Bacterial small subunit ribosomal RNA", at positions 340 to 786 of the family's 1533-position model. The record is from RNAcentral.